Pelobates cultripes (western spadefoot toad) is the source of this 697-nucleotide non-coding RNA. NCBI's taxonomy places the organism in Eukaryota, Metazoa, Chordata, Amphibia, Anura, Pelobatidae. The record is from the annotation of a GenBank genome assembly.
GCACACAUCCGUAAAUUUGGGCGUGCGAUGCCUCUUAUACCUGGAAGACUUGCUGAUUCUUUACGAAUCCAGGCUACGUUUGCAGACAAAUUUGUCGUUCACUUUCAGGACUCCAUGUGUUUUUUGUUGUACACAGACAAAGAUCGCUUCCCCAUCUGAAUCGGGCCAGUUCCUCGGUUUCGACAUCGGCCUGGAGAACUACGUUCCGCGUCUGUUUACGGCAAAGAGCGCCUCUAUAAGGAUAGCUGCCGGAUUGUGGGAUUCCUCUCCUCCUCCAUACAAGCGUUAUUCCCUGGCCCACUACGACUGAUGGUGAGAUACGUACGCACCGGUCACUCAUACGACCACUGGAUCCCACUGUCAGCGGAAGUGAGGAUGGAAUUUCGAUGGUGAUUACUUCACAUACAAACUUGGAUUGGCAAAACGACCUUUGACUCUUCCUUCGGAUACGGGGCGAUGGAUGAACCCCUGCAAACGCGACCCAGCCGUUCUCCACAAUAGCAAGGGUGCUUCGAUACACACACACACCCACAAGAUAUCGCUCCUGCUCAUGACACCCCUCGGGCAGGGCCAACCGUGAUUUCCCGGAUCGCCUGGAGAUGUCUCGCGAAGACCCUCUACAACUCCCUACCUUCCCUCUACUUCUGACGGGACCUCGAGGGGAAGCCCACUCCCUUGUCAUGGAAGGACAACUGGC